AACACUAACAAAUGUAAUUUACAAGCCACACAUCAAAAUCAACUUACAACAAUAAGAGCAAACCCUUUUGUUUUCCUUCUCUUCAUUUGCUCUCCAUACGCCAAAUAUAAUAACAAUGGUGGCAAUGAAGAUGAAGCUUUUCGUGGCGGUUUUGGUUGCAAUGAUAGCUUUCUCUGCGGUUUAGCAAUCUGCUGCAGCGGUUGACGCAGCACCGAGUCCUACCUCCGAUGCAUCCUCGUUUAUCCCUACUAUCUUCGCCUCCGUCUCGGUUUUGGUCGUUGGAUUACUCUAUUGAGAAGUUUUUCUUUGUGUGUUUUAAUUUAGUUAAAAUAUAAGAUCAACCGAUUGAUGUUUAAGUCUGGUCUUGUUUGUGUCUCUUGAUUUCCUGUAGUUGCUUAUAUGUCUUGAGUUUGAUCUCUUUCUAUUUCUUUUCUCUAUUUUCCAUGUAUGGUUGUCGAAGUUGACUCAUCCUAAUAUCAAUAAUAUUUAUUAUUUCCGUCUU
RNAcentral lists this long non-coding RNA (502 nucleotides) under Brassica napus (rape). Its description in RNAcentral is "long non-coding RNA (BNAP_LNC023440)". Lineage: Eukaryota; Viridiplantae; Streptophyta; Magnoliopsida; Brassicales; Brassicaceae. The record is from RNAcentral.